Molecule: long non-coding RNA, 4780 nt
Filed under: Homo sapiens (human)
Lineage: Eukaryota; Metazoa; Chordata; Mammalia; Primates; Hominidae
Description: HSALNT0275144
Source: RNAcentral
GGGAUUACAGGCAUGCGCCACCACUCCUGGCUAAUUUUUGUAUUUUAGUAGCGAUGGGGUUCCGCCAUGCUGGCCAGGCUGGUCUCAGGUGAUCCGCCCGCCUCCUAAAGUGCUGGGAUUACAGGUGUGGGCCACCGCGCCCGACCUACAGGCGCCUUUUUAUUUGCGAUUUUAAGGUCCUUGCAAUUAGCCUACGUGUUAGAGUCAUUUGGCGUUUGGUAGUAUCCAUGGCAGCAUUUUUUCUUUCUUAAUGCUAUUGUAUUUCUUGGAUCGGGUGUCUUCACAUCACCGGCCUGUGGCUUGGAUGCGGCACAUGGUGUAAUUAGGAGCUCCCCUGUGGGCAUGCAGAUACAGAUAUUUCUCCACUUAAGAAGGGGUCAGGGGGCGCGGUGGCUCACACCUGUAAUCCCAGCACUUUGGGAUGCUGAGGCAGGCGGAUCACCUGAGGUCAGGAGUUCGAGACCAGCCUGACCAACAUAGUGAAACCCCAUCUCUACUAAAAGUACAAAAAUUAGCUCGGCGUGGUGGCGCUUAAUCCCAGCUACUUAAGAGGCUGAGGCAGGAGAAUAACUUGAACCCAAGAAGCGGAGGUUGCAGUGAGCAGAGAUCGACAAGAGCAAGACUCCGUCUAAAAAAAAAAAAAAAAAAUGGGGUCAAGUCCCAGUGAACCCAUCAUGAAGUCGAAACAUCGUAAGUGAAACCACGAUGUUCACAGGUACCUGGAGUUUCUUCCUUCUGGUGGGUUCGUGGUCUCACUGACUUCAGGAGUAAAGUCGCAGACCUUCGCAGUGAGUGUUACAGCUCUUAAAGGUGGCACGUUGGGAGUUGUUUGUUCCUCCGGGGGGUUCGUGGUAUUGCUGACUUGAGGAGUGAAGCUGCAGACCUUCACGCUGAGUGUUACAGCUCAUAAAGGUAGUACAGACCCAAAAAAUGAGCAACAGCAAGAUUUACUGCAAAGAGCAAAAGAACAAAGCCUCCACAGCAUGUAAGAGUACCCCAGCGGGUUGCCCCCGCUGGCGCAGGUGGCCAGCUUUUAUUCCCUUAUUUGGCCCCACCCACAUCCUGCUGAUUGGUCCAUUUUACAGAGCGCUGAUUGGUCCAUUUUUACAGAGUGCUGAUUGGUGCCUUUACAAACCUUUAGCUAACACAGAGUGCUGAUUGGUGUGUUUUUACAGAGUGCUGAUUGGUGUGUUUACAAACCUUUAGCUAGACACAGAGCACUGAUUGGUGCAUUUACAAUCCUUUAGCUAGACAGAAAAGUUCUCCAGGUCCCCACCUGAUUAGCUAGACACAGAGCGCCGAUUGGUGCGUUUUUACAGAGUGCUGAUUGGUGUGUUUACAAACCUUUAGCUAGUCACAGAGCGCUGAUUGGUGCAUUUACAAUCCUUUUUAGCUAGACAGAAAAGUUCUCCAAGUCCCCACCCGACCCAGAAGCCCAGCUGGCUUUGCCUCUCAGUACCACUGCUCUCCAGCCUGGGCGACAGAGCAAGACUCCGUCUCAAAAAAAAAAAAAUAGCACUAAAAGAAACUUAUUAAAAAAGAAAAACAUUGUCAGGUCAGGCUAAAGGUUAAAGAGGAAAAAAAAUCACAGGGUAGGGUCAAAGAGUGGCGAUAACAGAGAAGAGAGUCAUGAGACUUGAAAUUAAAUAAUAGAAAUUACUCAAUAUUAACUGCAGAGAGAAAAUAGACUGAAAAAAAUUAGCAGAGCCUCAGUAACCUGUGGGACUGUGAUGAAAGAUUUAACAUCAUGUCAUCAAAGUCCCCCCAAAAAAGAGAAAAAAGCAUGAAGCUGAAAAAUAUUCAAAGAUAUGAUGGCUCAAGAUUUUCCAAAAAUUGCAAAAGACAUAGCCUAAACCGAAUAAACUCCUAACAAGUCUGAGGCAAUCUAUAUCAAUAUAUAUAUCAUAAUCAAACGCCUGAAAACUAAAGGCAAAGAAAAAAGUAUUAAAAACAGCAAGACAGAAAUUCUACCAUAUUUAUAAGGGAAAAGCAAUUUUUUUUUUUUUUGAGAUGGAGUCUCGCUCUUUUGUCAGGCUGGAGUGCAGUGGUGCAAUCUCGGCUCACUGCCACCUCUGCCUCCCGAGUUCAAGCGAUUCUCCUCCCUCAGCCUCCAGAGUAGCUGGGACUACAGGCGCGCACCACCAUGCCCAGCUAAUUUUUGUAUUUUUAGUAGAGACAGGGUUUCACUGCGUUGGCCAGGAUGGUCUCAAUCUCUUGAUCUCAUGAUCCGCCCACCUCGGCCUCCCAAAGUGCUGGGAUUACAGGCGUGAGCCACCGCGCCCUGCCAGGAAAAGCAAUUUUUAAAUGACGGCAUAUUUCUCCUCCGAAAUCACAGAGACCAGAAGGAAGUGACACAGUAUUUUCCAAGUGCUGAAAGAAAAGCAGUGUCAAUCGAGAAUUCUAUUAUCCAGUGAAAACAGCCUUCAAAAAUGGAAGGGAUAUCAGGGCAAUCUCAGAUGAAGAACUACUAAGAAUUUGUCACCAGCAGACCUACCAUUAAAAAAAUGGCUAAAGGAAAUUCUUGAAAUAGAAAGGAAAUGAUAAGUCUUAGAACAUCAGGGAGGAACACAGAACAACAGAAAGAGUAAAAAUAUAGAUAAAUACACUAGACAUUUCUUCUGCUGAGUUUUCGAGAGUAUCUUUGUCCAAGCAAAAAUUUUAACAUUGUCUAACAUGGUUAUUGAAGUAUGUAGAAGAAUCAUUAAGAUAAUUGUAAGUGAGAGAGGGUAAAAUGACUUAAAAGAAUUGUAAGGUUUCUAUGCUUCAGUCAAACUGGUAAAAUGUCAACACUAGUAGACUGAGAUAUCAAUAUAAUGUAAUAUGUAGAGCAGCUAUUAAAUAAUUUACACAAAGAGAUACACACUAAAUCACUAGACAUAUCAAAAUGGAAUUCUAAAAAGGUGCUAGUAACCCAAAGGAAAGUACGAAAAAGAAAACAGAGAAACCAAGAACAGAGGAAACAAAGAUAACAAAAAAAUUCUAUGGAAGACCUAAGACUUAAUAUACAGGUAAUUACAUUAAAUAUAAACAGUCUAAAUACACUAAUAAAAAGAUAGAUUAGUGAGUGAAACAAGCCAGGCACACAAAGUCAAAUAUCACCUGUUUUCACUCAUAAGUGGGUGCUAAAAAAUGUGUACACAUGAAGACAGAGAUUGGGGUGACAGACAAUGAAGACUUGGAAGGGUGAAGGAGUAUGAGGGGGUCAUAUGAUAGGUAAUUCCUAAUUGGGUACAAUGCGCAUUAUUUGGGUAAUGGAUACCCUAAAAGCCCUGACUUGACCACUAUGUAAUCUAUGCAUAUAACAAAACUGCAUACGGCCGGGCUCAGUGGCUCACGCCUGUAAUCCCAGCACUUUGGGAGGCUGAGGUGUGUAGAUCACUUGAGGUCCAGAGUUCAAGACCAGGUGGGCCAACAUGGUGAAACCCCAUCUCUACUAAAAAUACAAAAAUUAGCUGGGCAUCGUGGCAGGUGGCUGUAAUCCCAGCUACUCAGGAGGCUGAGGCAGGAGAAUCACUUGAACCCAGGAGGUGAAGGUUGUAGUGAGCUGAGAUUGCUCCACUGCACUCCAGCCUGGGUGACAGAGUGAGACUCCAUCUCUAAAUAAAUAAAUCAGCAGGUAUUUAUAAACAUAGGCCAGAUAAUGUCACUUCUCUGCUCACAACCUUCCACUGGUACCACAUCUCACAGCAAAUGGAAGCCAAAGGCCUUACAAUAUUAGCAACAGCCCCAGCUUUCAGGCCACAAAAUUCAUCUUGAAACUGUAGCCUACUGAGUAUUCUUAACGUAAACAUUUCCUUAAUAUAAAGCAGUAUAUAUUCGCUGUAGAAAAACUGAAAAAUAUAAAACAUGUAAAGGGGGAAAUUACUUAUAAUUCCACAGUCUAAAAUAGCCACUACACUGGUUUUUUUAAUAUAUAUAUCUUUUUGUAAAUCUAGUUUUUACAAUUUAAUGAUACUGAGGCAAACAAAUUUGCCACAUCCAUAAAAAUUUUGAAAUCAAAUAGAAAUAAAAUAAUAAAAAGACAGAUUGGCAGAGUAGGUGUUUUUUGUUUGUUUGUUUCUGUUUGUUUUUUUAAAAAAUAGAACCAACAGCAAGCAUAGUGGCUCACACUGGACGCUGAGGUAGGAGGGAGCCCAGGAGUUGGAGACCAACUUGGGCAACCAUAGCAAUGUAGCAGGACGAGCCGCAGACAAAACUCAGACACCGAGUUAAAUAAGGAAGGGGUUUAUUCGGCGGGGGGCAUUGGCAAGACUCCUGUCUCAAGAGCAGAGCUCUCCGAGUGAGCAAUUCCUGUACCUUUUAAGCGCUCACAACUCUACGGGGGUGCGCGUGAGAGGGUCUUGAUCGAUUGAGCAAGCAGGGGGUACGUGACUGGGGGCUGCAUGCACCGGUAAUUAGAUGGGAACAAAACAGGAUAGGGAUUUCCACACUGCUUUUCUAUACAAUGUCUGUAAUCUAUAGAUAAUAUAACCGAUUAGGUCAGGGGUCGAUCUUUAACUACCAGGCCCAGGGUGUGAUGCCGGGCUGUCUGCUUGUGGAUUUCAUUUCUGCCUUUUAGUUUUUACUUUUUCUUUCUUUGGAGGCAGAAAUUGGGCAUAAGACAAUAUGAGGGGUGGUCUCCUCCCUUAGCAAGACUUGGUCCCUACACAUUUUUUUUUUUUUUUUUUUUUUUUUUUUUUUUGAGACGGAGUCUCGCUCUGUCGCCCAGGCUGGAGUGCAGUGGCACCAUCCCGGCUCACUGCAAGCUCCGCCUCCUGGGUUCACGCCUUUCUCCUGCCUC